Molecule: ribosomal RNA, 330 nt
Filed under: uncultured bacterium
Lineage: Bacteria
Description: bacterial SSU rRNA
Rfam family: Bacterial small subunit ribosomal RNA
Source: RNAcentral
UGUGUAGGCGGUUCUUUAAGUUUGGUGUGAAAUCUCCCGGCUCAACCGGGAGGGUGCGCCGAAUACUGAGGGACUAGGGUGCGGGAGAGGAAAGUGGAAUUCCUGGUGUAGCGGUGAAAUGCGUAGAUAUCAGGAGGAACACCGGUGGUGUAGACGGCUUUCUGGACCGUAACUGACGCUGAGACACGAAAGCGUGGGUAGCAAACAGGAUUAGAUACCCUGGUAGUCCACGCCCUAAACGAUGCAUAUUUGGUGUGGGUCAUUCAGUUGAUCCGUGCCGGAGCUAACGCGUUAAAUAUGCCGCCUGGGGAGUACAGUCGCAAGGCUGAA